GUAUGCAGGUCGGAUGGUGGUAAAUUGCAUCUAAGGCUAAAUAUUGGCCAGAGACCGAUAGCGCACAAGUAGAGUGAUCGAAAGAUGAAAAGCACUUUGAAAAGAGAGUUAAACAGUAUGUGAAAUUGUUGAAAGGGAAGCGCUUGCAACCAGACUUGAGCGCGGCGGUUCCCCCUUGCUUCUGCUUGGGUUACUCCGCCGUGUCCAGGCCAACAUCGGUUCUGGGGGUCGGUCAAAGGCUCUGGGAAUGUAUCUACCCACGGGUAGACUUAUAGACCAGGGUGUCAUGCGACCUCCCGGGACCGAGGAACGCGCUUCGGCUCGGAUGUUGGCGUAAUGGUUGUCAGCGACCCG
This 354-nucleotide ribosomal RNA is filed under the name Fonsecaea pedrosoi. RNAcentral's name for it is "eukaryotic LSU rRNA". It matches the Rfam family "Eukaryotic large subunit ribosomal RNA", at positions 278 to 651 of the family's 3401-position model. Lineage: Eukaryota; Fungi; Ascomycota; Eurotiomycetes; Chaetothyriales; Herpotrichiellaceae. The record is from RNAcentral.